This 420-nucleotide ribosomal RNA is filed under the name uncultured bacterium. RNAcentral describes it as "bacterial SSU rRNA". It matches the Rfam family "Bacterial small subunit ribosomal RNA", at positions 359 to 776 of the family's 1533-position model. The record is from RNAcentral.
GAAUAUUGGUCAAUGGACGAAAGUCUGAACCAGCCAUGCCGCGUGCAGGAUGACUGCCCUACGGGUUGUAAACUGCUUUUAUAUAGGAAGAAACCCCUCUACGUGUAGAGGGCUGACGGUACUAUAAGAAUAAGGACCGGCUAACUCCGUGCCAGCGGCCGCGGUAAUACGGAGGGUCCAAGCGUUAUCCGGAUUCAUUGGGUUUAAAGGGUACGUAGGCGGAGCUUUAAGUCAGUAGUGAAAGCCCAUUGCUUAACAAUGGAACUGCUAUUGAUACUGGAGUUCUUGAAUAUAGUUGAAGUUGGCGGAAUACGGCAUGUAGCGGUGAAAUGCAUAGAUAUGCCGUGGAACACCGAUCGCGAAGGCAGCUAACUAAGCUAUUAUUGACGCUGAGGUACGAAAGCGUGGGGAGCGAACAGG